CGCGACCCAGGUUAGGCGGGAGCACCCGCCGAAUUAAGCAUAUCAAUAAGCGGAGGAAAAGAAACUUACCAGGCAUUCCCUAGUAACGGCGAGCGAACCGGGAAGACCAGCUUGAGAAUCGGCGCCCUCCGGCGUCCGAAUUGUAGUCUGGAUGAAGCGUCUCAAGCGGCGGACGCGGGCCCAGUCCCCUGGAAGGGGGCGCCGAGAGGGUCGAGAGCCCCGUCGUGCCCGACCCUGUCGCACCACGAUGCGCUGCUCCUGCGAGUCGGGUUGUUUGGGAAUGCAGCACCAAUCGGGCGGUAAAUUCCGUCCAAAGGCUAAAUACGGGCGAGAGACCGAUAGCGAACAAGUACAGGCGAGGAAAGAUGAAAAGGACUUUGAAAAGAGAGUCAAAGAGUGCUUGAAAUUGUCGGGAGGGAAAGCGGAAUGGGGCCGGCGAUGGCGCCCCGGUCGGAUGUGGAACGGCGGCAAGCCGGUCCGCCGAUCGGCUCGGGGCGCGGACCGACGCGGAUCGCAGCGGCGGCCCAAGCCGGGACUAGAAACGCCCGCGGGAGACGCGUCGCAGCGAUCGUGGACAGCGCAGCGCGCGCCGUCACGGCGUGCCUACGGCAACAGCGCGCUCCUGCGUCGGCCGGCGGGCUCCCCAUAUCGGCCCGUCUUGAACACCGGACCAAGGAGUCUGACAUGGUGGCGAGUCAACGGGCACACGUAAACCCGGUAAGGCGCAAGGAAGCUGACUGGCGGGAUCCCUCCGAGGGUUGCCGCCGACCCGACCUCGUCUUUCGAGAAGGGUCGAGUGAGAGCAUGCUGUCGGACCCGAAAGAUGUGAAACUUAUGCCUGAGCGGGGCGAAGCCAGAAGGAAACUCUGGUGGAGGCCCGCAGCGAUACUGACGUGCAAAUCGUCGUCUGACUUGGGUAUAGGGGCGAAAGACUAAUCGAACCGUCUAGUAGCUGGUUCCCUCCGAAGUUUCCUCAGGAUAGCUGGAGCUCGGGACGAGUUCUAUCGGGUAAAGCCAAUGGAUAGAGGCAUGGGGGCGCAACGCCCUCGACCUACUUCUCAAACUUUAAAUGGUAGGACGGCGCGGAUGCUUGCUGAGCGGCUCCAACGGAAAUCGCGAGCUCCAGUGGGCCAUUUUUGGAUAAGCAGAACUGGCCGAUGCGGGAUGGAACCGGAAGCCGGGUUUACGGUGCCCACUGCGCGCUAACCAGAACCCACAAAGGGUGUUGGUCGAUUAAGACAGCAAGACGGUGGGUCAUGGAAGUCCGAAAUCCGCUUAAGGAUGUGUAACAACCAGUACCUGCCGAAACCUCAAAUGACUAGCCCGAAAAUGGUGCGCUUAAAGCCGCGACUAUACCCGGCCGUCGGGGCAAGAGCCAGGCCCGAUGAGUAGGAGGGCGCGGCGGCCGCGAUGCAAAACCCGCGGCGCGAGCCCGGGGGAGCGGCCGCGGUGCACGAUCUUGGUGUAGUAGCAAAUAUUCAAAAUGAGAACUUUGAAAGGCCGAAGAGGGGAAAGGUUCCAUCGUGAACGGCACUUGCACAUGGGUUACGUCGAUUCUCAAGAGACGGGGAAAGCCCGUCGAAUCGCGCGUCCGCGCGAGGCUUCGAAAGGGAAUCGGGUUAAAAUUCCAGAACCGGACGCGGGCGGCUGACGGCAAACGUUAGGGGUCCGGAGACGUCGGGGGGGCCCUCGGAAGAGUUAUCUUUUUCUGUUUAAAACGGCCCGCCCACCUGGGAAAACGACUCAGUCGAGGUAGGGUCCAGCGGCCGGGAAGAGCACCGGCAAUCGUGCGCGGUGUCCGGUCGCCCCCGGCGGCCCGUGAACAAUCCGGAGGACCCGGAGUGCCUCCGCGCCCAGUGUGACUCAUAACGCAUCAGGUUCUCCAAAGUGAAACAGCCUCUGGCCAAACUGGAAAUGGUAGGCAAGGGGAAGCUUCGGCAAAAACGGCUCCGUAACUCGGGAAAAGGAUUUGGCUCUGAGGGUGGGCCCGGGGGUCCCAGUCCGAACCCGUCGGCUCGGCGGACUGCUCGACUGCUCCAGGGCGAGAGCGGGUCGCCGGUGCGGCCGGGGGACGGACUGGGAACGGCCCCUCGGGGCGCUUCCCGGGCGUCGAACAGUCGACUCAGAAAACUGGUACGGACAGGGGAAUCCGACUGUUUAUUAAAAAAACUUGCGAUGGUCCCUGCGGAUGUCAGCAAUGUGAUUUUCUGCCCAGUGCUCCUGAAUGUCAAAGCUGAAGAAAUUCAACCAAGCGCGGGUAAACGGCGGAGUAAACUAUGAACUCUCUUAAGGUAGCCCAAAUGCUCGUCAUCAUUAGUGACGCGCUGAAUGGAUUAACGAGAUUCCACUGUCCCUGUCUACUAAUCCUCAGCGAAACCACAGCCAAAGGGAACGGGCUUGGCGAAUCAGCGGGAAGAAGACCUUUGUUGAGCUUGACCUAGUCCGACUUUGUGAAAUGAACUUGAGAGGUGUAGGAUAAAGUGGGAGACCGGCACAACGGCGACGGUGAAAUACCACUACUUUUAACGUAUAUUUUCUUAUCCGUGAAUCGGAGGCGGGGCCCUCGCCCUCUUUUUUUGGACCCAAGGCCGCCACGGCGGCCGAUCCGGGCGGAAGACAUUGUCAGGUGGGGGAGUUUGGCUUGGGCGGCACAUUGUUAAAAAGAUAACGCAGGUGUCUAAGAUGAGCUCAACCCGAGACAGAAAUCUCGUGUGUAACAAAAGGGUAAAAGCUCGUUUGAUUCUAUUUCCAGUAACGAAUAACGAACCGUGAAGCGUGGCCUAUCGAUCCUUUAGAUCCUCGGAAUUUGAAGCUAGAGGUGUCAGAAAAGUUACCACAGGGAUAACUGGCUUGUGGCAGCCAAGCGUUCAUAGCGACGUUGCUUUUUGAUGCUUCGAUGUCGGCCUUCCUAUCAUUGGUGAACAGAAUUAACCAAGUUGUUGGAUUUGUUCACUCCACCAAUAGGGACGUGAGCUGGGUUUAGCCCCGUUCGUGAGACAGGUUAGUUUUACCCUACUGAUACCGCGUCGCGGAUGGAAUCUCGAACUAGUACGAGAGGAACCGUUGAUUCGCACAAUUGGUCAUCGCGCCUUGGUUGAAAAGCCCAGGUGGCGCGAAGCCUACCGUGCGCUGGAUUAAUGACUGAACGCCUUAAGUCAGAAUCGGGUCAGAGCGACGCCCGUGUCCGGCGCCCGCGUUGCCGACCCGCAGCUAGGGCCAUCCGGCCCCCAAGGCGUGCCGUUGGCCAAGCCCCGCGGCGGACCGAGCCGCGCGGGCCGCCUUGAAGUACUAUUCCCACCGGGCUCGGCCAAAGAAUCCUUUGCAGACGACUUUAAAUACGCGACGGGUAUUGUAAGUGGCAGAGUGGCCUGCUGCCACGAUCCACUGAGAUCAGCCCUUUGUCGCUCCGUUCGUC
This 3415-nucleotide ribosomal RNA is filed under the name Hevea brasiliensis (rubber tree). Its description in RNAcentral is "eukaryotic LSU rRNA". It matches the Rfam family "Eukaryotic large subunit ribosomal RNA". The record is from RNAcentral. Lineage: Eukaryota; Viridiplantae; Streptophyta; Magnoliopsida; Malpighiales; Euphorbiaceae.